Molecule: ribosomal RNA, 211 nt
Filed under: uncultured eukaryote
Lineage: Eukaryota
Description: partial 18S ribosomal RNA
Rfam family: Eukaryotic small subunit ribosomal RNA
Source: RNAcentral
UGGUGGAGUGAUUUGUCUGGUUAAUUCCGAUAACGAACGAGACCUCAACACUUAAAUAGGAAGACAAGGUAUCUAUAUGGGUGAAGCAGAAUAAUGUUACGACCAGCAAUGGUUGUUGCCUUACCUGUGGAUCCUUGAUAUCUUGUUAUUUAAACACACCUUCUUAAGUGGACUGUUUGCGAUUAGCAAAUGGAAGUUUGAGGCAAUAACA